Long non-coding RNA from Alligator mississippiensis (American alligator), 7155 nucleotides. RefSeq lists it as uncharacterized. Lineage: Eukaryota; Metazoa; Chordata; Crocodylia; Alligatoridae. The transcript is spliced from 3 exons. The record is from RefSeq and is a predicted model, not a curated record.
UUGGGAUGUUGUCCCUGCGCCCCAGCAACAGGCAGCUCCUGGUGGCAAGGAGCAAUCUCUUGCCUGCUGCUGCCCGGCUGACUGGGAGCACAUUUACUCCUGGUCAGGGAUCUACACAUGCACUAUUGUGCAGUUACUAAUCACAAGUAAAUCUGCUACUUGCAUUUGCAGGUAGCAAAUUUACUCGUGAUUAGAACCACUUACUGUGCUGUACAUAUCUAUACGUGUAGAUGUGGACACUUACUGAGCAGUAAUUAGCUCUACUGAGCAGUAAACCAUCUCAUGUAGGCACACCCACUCUUCCGUAAGAGUGAGAGCUGUGUCUAGUGUGCUGGUUAAAAUUGCCUCUCACUACAGAGCUGUGCAGGAUUAUUGUUGUGCUCCUAGCUACUGCCCUCUCAUCCUGGAGAAAGCUACAUUUAAGUAAUGUAUCUAUACCAUUUUUGCUUCUUCUCAAGGAAAAGUAGUACUUUGGAUUCACACCAGUACAACUGAGAUUUGGCCUAAUCUCCAUGACGGAUUUUGCUAAUCCAUCAAGGAAGCAUGGAUAAACAAGAAUAAUCUGGGGGCAGAUUGGUGAGCUAAUGGUAAGAAACUAAAAGAAUGCGAAGUGAUGGAAGAGAAACUUGUAGAGAUUUCUUUUCCAUUUAAUCCUUUUUCUUUGCAUUUCCCUAUUUCCUAUUAUUGCUCCCCCUGCCAAGUUUAAUAAAAUAAAGGCUUAUGAUCUGGGGGGUGGGAAUCAUUGCAAAAAAACUCUGGAAUUCCCCAAAUGAAAGUUUUUCUCACUGUUCUGGCAACCAGCUUUGUGAUACCACUACUUCAUCAUUCCAGUCCUUACCUCUUAAUUAGGUCAUGCCCACAAUCAAAAGACGACUGUUUUAAAAUCGGUUUUGGUUUCAAAUCAGUUAUUAACUAUAGCAUACUUAUUUUUUAAACUGAUGCAAUAACAUGGACUUCAUUUAGUUUUUACAUCUUAUUCAAAUGAGGUUUGAAUGGGUUGGAGAUCAAUGUCGCUUCCAGUUGGGAGGCAGCAUCAAGUCAGGCAAAUUGCUUUUAAAUAAUACUUAAAAAAAUAGUUAAGAUCUGUGGGCAGCUUUCAUUAGAUGCCCCAUUUCAGUCUUCUAAAUCUUUAAAAAAACUUUCCCCCAGGAUGAUACUUUUUUACACUUGAUUUCUUCCCGGAAGUGACUUAUUUGGAAGGGUUCAGACAUUGUGUGCAUGUGUGUGAAGAUCGUCUGAAUCUCUACCUUUUCUAUUAUUAAUAAAGCAUUACCUUUUUAACAGCUCCAUGGCUAAAAUCUAGCAGGGGAGAGCUGUGAGGAGGGCCUUUGAAACUGAAAAGCAUAGGUUAUAAUUUGACUAAUUACUGAUUCUAUAUUUGGCGUGCAUUGUGGAUUUUUUUUUCUAGGAUUAUAGGCAGCUGUGGAGAGACUUGGUGCAUACAUGUGCAGAACUAAUUUGACUUCUCACUGAAAAAAGGUAUCCCAGCAUUUCUGUCAAUCAGUUUAUGUGCUGUGGGCAGAGGAGAGGCUCUGUACACUUGGAAAGGUGGAAAAAGGAUUUUUUCACCUUCCUCAGAAGCACUGGGUGCUAGUUGCAGCCAGGGCUGGGGUUUUGACUGUCAUGUGCCCGUGUUCCUGCUGGCACUAAAAUCCAGAGGUACCUGGCUAGAGGGUCUUUCCUCUUUGCUCAGGGGCUGAUUGUGAUAUUUGGGGUAGGGUGGCCAUUGGUCCUGUUUUAUACUGGACUGUCCUAUUUUUAAACCCUUUGUCCCUGUCCAUUUCUGAAUGAGGAGUCCUGGUUUUCAGUUCAUUGGUGGAAAUACAUGUCAAUCAUUUGUCCUUGUGAUUCUGUUGGCUGUCUAGAGGUAGGGCAGUGCACAGCCAGGGAGGGAGGUGGCCUUUUUGUUGUGGCCUCACCCCUCACUGCUGAUUGGUUGAGGUGGCCCCGCCCCUCACUGCUGAUUGGCUGAGGGGAGCAGUGGUCCCACCCCUCACCAAAGGGAUGUCCUGUAUUCUGGGGAUGGGUCAGUGGCCACCCUAAUUUGGGGUCAAGAAAGAAAUGUACUCCAUGGUCAGGUUGGUACAGACCGGGGGGUGGGGGGAGUUGCCUUUCUCUGUAGCAGGGGCUGUAUGGUUUUCUUUGUUGGGAGAUCCAAGGUAUUGUAACAGUCCCUGCAGCCGCAGGACACUGGGUGCCAUUGCCCCGAUUUACCUGUGGCAUGUUAGGGUAUUAUACCGUAUGCCUGUGUGUCAAGGUUGACUAUGUAGUUUUACUGAUAGGUUAGACAAGGAUUUGUAUAGGAUGGUUUGAAUAGAAAUGAUCCUCCCUCAGGCGGCAGGGAGGGGGAAGGAAUAGUUACACGAGGUGACCUCCAAAUGUCCCUUCCAGCCCUACUUUUCUAUGAUUCUCUGAAAAGGAUUGGGGAGAACUAUUGUGUUCUUUGCAAGAUGCUGGGAAAGAGCCUGGAUCUGAUGCAUCUAUGGUUCUCAGGAGAGGGGCUGGCUCUUGCAAGGCCUGCCCUCUCGUCAUGUGGAGUACUAUCUAUUCAGUACAAGGUAACAGUGAGGAUGUUCGGUGAUCGUGUGCAUCACCUCAGUCUGCCACCUACUUAAUUUCAUUGUUGUCUGGUCAAUGUGAAAGGUUUAAAUCUGCAUCCAAAGAUGGUACCCUGGACUAAUUUCCAAGUACACUGACUAGGACUCUCUCUAGUUAUUCUACAAGGACUAAUUUGUUUUUAACUUAUUUCUAUAUUAUUGUUGACAAUCAUUCUUUAAUGAGUGUCAUUACUAUAGUCAGAAUGCUUUACAGCCAUGGGGAUAAAUUCACCCAGCAAGACAGCAGGGCACAGUUUGCUCUCUUUUCUGCCUGAUGCAAGAAUUGACUCCCAGGUAAGCAAUCUUACAUUUCCGCUGAGACUUAAUUGAUUUGUAAUGGAAGACAAUGUCAAGGCAAUAUGCUGAGUUAAUACAUCUCCCAGUAAGCCUUCCUCUUAGCCUCUUCUGCCUGUUCUCCCCACUUUUGGAACUACCCCAGGUACCUCUCCACCACUACUGCAAGGACCAACAAUGAGGAGUCUGCUGGCUUCCAGCAGUGGAAGUGAAUUCACUUUUAAGAGCCAAAUAAUGCAGUCCUUAUUCAGUCAAAUUUCCACUGAAUGCAAGAGGAGUUUUGCCUGAGUGUCAGGGCUGAUUAAGGACAAUUUAAUGGCCAAAAAAUAUUUUCCUCUCCUGUUAACUGCAAUCUCUCUUCCAUUUUUCUGUAUGUUUCAGAAAGAUAACAAUUUUGGCUUUCCAGCUCAAGAUGUGAAUCCUAAGUUGAUAUUUUGUGUAUAGAAAGCUUAGUGUUGAUACGGCUUCUAUUUAAAAAAAUCUGAAAACAGAAAUGAUGGUUUUUACAACUAAUUCCAGACUUGCACAUAAGAACUUUAUAGAGUUAGCCCUCCUGCUGUUUUCAAAUAAAGCUAAAUGUCAGUCAUGUAAAAGCAAGACAAAAAUAUGCCCUCCAGAGCUUCUGCAGAACAUGAAAUAGAUGGGGUUUUGGACUAACUGGAAAAAAAGCAACAGCAUUGUACAGAACAGCAAGACACUUUUAAUGUAACUGGAAAAUACGUAAAAAGAGACUUUCCGCUGAGAAACAACUACCGCUGCCACUGGGUCCUGGAGCUCUGCCUCCCAGGAAACUCACAGCCUGGCCUUACUGGGGGCCAGAGUGCUCCCAGCUGGAGCAAAAAGGCAAAGCAUCCUCCUCCAUCCGUGGGGGCUAAUAAAACCCCAGUUGAGAAGCUUUUUUUGAAAUUUUUUCUGCCUUAAUUUUUAUCUUAACUUCAUCCAGUUACCUUCCCUCCUCCUUCCCCGAGUUAUAAUCUAGGGCUUGUAGUGAACCCUUAGAAAAGAGAUAGGAAAGCAGGACCUAGGGCAGAGGGAAGAAAACAGAAAGUGAACCACUGGGGAAGAGGAAAGAAAGAAAAAGAGCCUCUAGGAAGAAAUGGAUGUUUUUGGAUGUUUAUCUUGCUGGGAUCCUAUGACUCCAGCUGACUUCCUGCCCCUGGGGCAGGGGGCUGGAUUCAAUGAUCUUCCGAGGUCCCUUCCAGCCCUAGUGUCUAUGAAAUCUAUGAAAGUGGAAAUGGGGUGGACCACGCAAGGGAGAAAGGGAAAAGGAAAAAGCCACCAACAGAAAGGAAGGAAAUCAGAUACUAGCCAUAUUCCAUGAUGUUUUCUAACUUGGACUUGUGCUACAGAGACAUGUUGUUCUGUUUCUUUGCCAGCAUAUUGUCCUUAUAAAACACCUAGGAACAUAAUAGGGUGCCUGUACACAUGCUUGGGGGUGGGCGGGGUAGGCGUUUUAAUUAGACUGGCUCUCCAGGAACCACUCUAAUUAAAAUGCUGCAGCAUCACAUGUAUUAAGCCCCUGUGUAUUUAAAAAUGGCAGCGGGACACUUUAAGUCAAGCUCAUUCGACAAACUUUAGUUAAGGCACCCCAAAGGCCAUUUUUAAACCCACAGGGGCCUAUACACAUGAUGCUGUGGCAAUGCUAAAGCAUCCUAAUUAGAAUGCAGAGCAGACUUGAUUAAUCUCAUUCUCAGAACAUGCUGGAGCACAUGUAUUAGGCACCCAUUCAGUUUACUCAAUUAGUUGAACAUCCUUCUUAUUUGGAAAAGAGGUCAUCACAUUCAAUUACAAAAAGUAAAUUGCUUUCUGCUACACCCCCUCCCCCCCCCCAAAAAAAAAACAAACCCAACCCAAAACAAAACAAGAAAGUGGGUACCUUAUGAUGCAGCCAUAUUUCCUAAUCAUAGAAUCUUAUGUGUCCUCUGUCCUCGUAAGAAAAUACUUGUUCAGUGUCCUCUUGAUCUGCACUUUCUUUCAUUGUGCUCUUAAAUAACCCCAUUGAAACCAGUGGUAAUUUAUGCUGCUGUCUGCAGUUUUAACAAAGAGGUCAAGGCUUUGGUGGCUGUAAAGCAUAUUGAAAGGCAGCCUAAGAACAAGAAAAGGUAAAUACUGUGCUGAAAAACAAGAGCUGUUCCAAGGACAGCUGGCACGUACUUCUUAGUGCAUUCCUUCCUCUCAGAAUUGAAGGCCCAAAUUGGGAAGUUUGCAUUGCUGUGAUGCCCUCCUUCUGCCCAUAAAUAAUGUCUGUCAAUUGUGAAAUCUUCUCUGUCUGAGGAGUGUUAAUUUGUUUGGAGUAAAGUUUCUGAGCACAUUUAUACGAAGAGGUCUCUUUUGUCUCCUGGUCCAGGUGUGCCUUUAACAUGACUGGAUUAGCAGUUCCUGGCUAAAUCACAGUUAAAUGGUCAUCCCCUUAUUUGUAUUGUGGCCCCUCCAUUUCUGAAGGGCUCAGCACCCAGACUUGGUCACAACCAAAAUGCUGUUUUGAAAAGUCUCCAAAGGGACCCUGAGCUCUGAAGGAGACAGGCGCUUGCUCCUGUGUAAAUUUGGAAAAUUCUGACUUCAGCCCAUGUUUCAUUUUCCCUUUCUGAUCAGUGUGGACAGAGCACCUCAUGUCUGGAAAGCACAAGGAACUCUCAGUACUUCAAUUAUUCCUUCUAGCGACUGCUCCAGCUACUGCUCUCAGAAGUAGGCCCGUUUAAGGUGUCUUGGUUAUGGCAGCUAAAGCACAAGUACAGUGAUUCGCAACCAGGAUUCUGCGACAGUCUUUGAAGGGUGUUGCUCGGAGAGGAAAUAAGUGCAGGUUCUUCCCUGUCUGGCUGCUCCUCAUCCUUCCCAGCUUCUCUUCAAGCAGGGAAAUGUUCUCUUCUAGGCCAGCUUACAGAUGAAUUGCCAGGGGACAAGUCCUGUCUUUACUAAAGGCUUUUGUUUGGCUUCUGGGAAAUUUCUGAACAAAGUGCAGUAGGAUAAGGAUGCAGAGAAUAAAUAGCCCACUUGAACUGUGGCCUCCUUAUUUUUGCCAUUAGCUUAUUGUAAUUCAACAGACAAUUUGUAACAUUACUUUGGCCUGUAGGUGUACGCCUUUUACAAGUUUAGCAAUUCUGGGAAGGACCAGAUGAAGGUUCCCUACAGCUAACCCUUGCAGCCCGUACCCGCAGCCAGCUGGACUCUGUUCUUUUGACUUGACCAAAAGGCUGAAAUCAGUUAGGCCGAAUUGUCUGUGCUGGGGUUGUGGGCCACAGCCCACCACAUUUACUUAGUAGCCCCCUCUAACUGGUGGCUAGUGGGGACACAGACAAUUGAAUGCAGGGAACAAAAAAUGACUAAAGGAUGUGCAGGUGGUCAAAGGGUUAAAAAAAUAAGUGCACUUUCAGGGUCAUUGAGCAGAGCACCCCCGACAGCACCCACCGACUCUCAAAGGCAGCCACUGAAAUCUGUUAGGGGAGAAUGGGAAGUUGUGUUUGAAUCACUGGAGAUAAAAGGAAAGAGCAUCAUGAGGUAACUGGAAGAAUUUCUGACAUCUUAUAAAUGCCAGGAGUUUGGGGCAUAAACUGCUGAAAGCUCAAAAUCUUAGAACACAACCAAAACUCCAGCUUAACUGGGAUCACAGAGAUUUGGUGGGAUACAUUUCAGGACUGGAAUAGUGGCAUGGAGAGGUAUAUAGUGUAUUCUAAGUCUAUAGCCUUAGGACCAGAAUCAGGUAAUGGACUUACGGAUAGACACCAACGAGUGUCGCUUACACUGAGUUGGAGUAAAUGUUCUGGGAUAGCUAGCCCUGAAUUCUUCAGGCCUCUUAAGGCUUACUCCCUUGUUUCUCAGAGUACCUUAUGCUUCUUAUCGCAGCAUUGAUAUUGACAGCAUCUUAAGUCAAUUCAGAGCUGCAGUUAGAAGCUUUAAACUUGAUGGCUGCCAGUCAAAUUUACAAGCAACCCAGUUACACAGAGUACAAUUGCUUUACUUUCCAGAGGUCUUAAGUGUCAGGCUCUUAACUGAUAAGCAGAUAACUAGCGUCUGUAAGUGUAGCGGUAGAGAAAAAUGGAGACUGUUGUGUUACUUCAUUAAGCAAAUAAUACAACUUUGCAAGUAGGCACGCAAGUGGAGUGCAUUAACUGGACCCAGCCCUGCUGCUCAGGAGCCCUUCACCUACUGCUGGGGUAGGGUGGGCGGCUGGGGCGACCCUGGGAUCUUGGGGCGGUGACAGUGCAGGGCCCAGGUGUGAUCCGCUGCCUGCUCGCCCCUGCGAUGGGUGCAGGUUGUGGGCAGGGAG